This 1470-nucleotide ribosomal RNA is filed under the name uncultured Bordetella sp. RNAcentral describes it as "partial 16S-23S ribosomal RNA intergenic spacer". It matches the Rfam family "Bacterial small subunit ribosomal RNA". The record is from RNAcentral. Lineage: Bacteria; Pseudomonadati; Pseudomonadota; Betaproteobacteria; Burkholderiales; Alcaligenaceae.
AGUUUGAUUAUGGCUCAGAUUGAACGCUGGCGGGAUGCUUUACAUACAAGUCGAACGGCAGCACGGACUUCGGUCUGGUGGCGGAGAGUAAGCGAACGGGUGAGUAAUGUAUCGGAACGUGCCUACAGUAGCGGGGGAUAACUACGCGGCGUAGCCUAAUGCCGCAUACGCCCUUCGAAGCGAAAGCAGGGGACUGAGCCUCGCACUAUUAGAGCAGCCGAUAUCGAUUCGCUAGUUGGUGGGGGUAACGGCUCACCAAGGCGACGAUCCGUAGCUGGUUUGAGAGGACGACCAGCCACUGGGACUGGGGCGGCCCAGACUCCUACAGGAGGCAGCAGUGAGGAAUUUUGAACCACUGGUCCAGCCCAUCCCGCGUGUUGCGAUGAAGACCUUCGGGUUGUAAAGCACUUUUGGCAGGAAAAAGCAGCACAGGAUAAUACCCCGUGCAACUGACAGUACGAUAAGCACCGGCUAACUACGUGCACCCAGCAGCCGCGAUGGCAGCCGUGAGUGCAAGCGUUAAUCGGAAUUACUGGGCGUAAAGCGUGCGCAGGCGGUUCGGAAAGAAAGAUGUGAAAUCCCAGAGCUUAACUUUGGAACUGCAUUUUAACUACCGAGCUAGAGUGUGUCAGAGGGAAGUGGAAUUCCCGCGUGUAGCGGUAAUCCGUAGAUAUGCGGAGGAGCACACCGAUAGCGAAGGCGGCCUCACCAAAUCUUGCAAGCGCUCAUGCACGAAAAGCGUGGGGGGAGCAAACAGGAUUAGAUACCCUGGUAGUCCACGCCCUAAACGAUGUCAACUAGCUGUUGGGGCCUUCGGGCCUUGGUAGCGCAACUAACAUAAGUUGACCCUUCGAAGUGGGUCGCAAGAUUAAAACUCAAAGGAAUUGACGGGGACCCGCACAAGCGGUGGAUGAUGUGGAUUAAUUCGAUUAGCACGAAAAGCGCUACUACCCUUGACAUGUCUGGAAUCGAAGAGAUUUGGGGAGUGCUCAUAGAGAACCGGAACACAGGUGCUGCAUGGCUGUCGUCAGCUCGUGUCGUGAGAUGUUGGGUUAAGUCCACCUUUGAGCAUAACCCUUGUCUUUAGUUGCUACGAAAGGGCACUCUAAUGAGACUGCCGGUGACAAACCGGAGGAAGGUGGGGAUGACGUCAAGUCCUCAUGGCCCUUAUGGGUAGGGCUUCACACGUCAUACAAUGGUCGGGACAGAGGGUCGCCAACCCGCGAGGGGAGCCAAUCCCAGGGAAACCCGAUCGUAGUCCGGAUCGCAGUCUGCAACUCGACUGCGUGAAGUCCGGAAUCGCUAGUAAUCGCCUGGAUCCAGCAUGUCGCGGUGAAUACGUUCCCGGGUCUUGUACACACCGCCCGUCACACCAUGGGAGUGGGUUUUACCAAGAAGUAGUUAGCCUAACCGUAAGGAGGGCGAUUACCACAGUAAGUUCAUGACUGGGGUGAAGUCGUAACAAGGUAG